This 502-nucleotide ribosomal RNA is filed under the name uncultured bacterium. Its description in RNAcentral is "partial 16S ribosomal RNA". It matches the Rfam family "Bacterial small subunit ribosomal RNA", at positions 28 to 507 of the family's 1533-position model. The record is from RNAcentral.
GACGAACGCUGGCGGCGUGCCUAAUACAUGCAAGUCGAACGAACCGCGACUGAGUGCUUGCACUUGGUCAAGGUGAGUGGCGAACGGGUGAGUAACACGUGGGUAACCUACCUCAUAGUGGGGGAUAACAGUCGGAAACGACUGCUAAUACCGCAUAGGACAUAGGAUCACAUGAUCCAGUGAGGAAAGGUGGCGCAAGCUAUCGCUAAGAGAUGGACCCGCGGUGCAUUAGCUAGUUGGUCGGGUAAAGGCCUACCAAGGCGAUGAUGCAUAGCCGACCUGAGAGGGUGAUCGGCCACAUUGGGACUGAGACACGGCCCAAACUCCUACGGGAGGCAGCAGUAGGGAAUCUUCCGCAAUGGACGCAAGUCUGACGGAGCAACGCCGCGUGAGUGAAGAAGGUCUUCGGAUCGUAAAGCUCUGUUGUUAGAGAAGAACAGCGCAUAGAGUAACUGCUAUGCGUGUGACGGUAUCUAACCAGAAAGCCACGGCUAACUACGUG